Molecule: long non-coding RNA, 705 nt
Filed under: Homo sapiens (human)
Lineage: Eukaryota; Metazoa; Chordata; Mammalia; Primates; Hominidae
Description: HSALNT0109500
Source: RNAcentral
UCGCGAAUUAGCGGGAGCGCGCGCGGUGGCUCUUCUGAGGCCCGUUCCGCGUUGUGGAGCGCGCCGCAGGCCGGCCGCGCGCCCGGCCAUUUCCCGGCGCGCGCCCGCAGGCGCACUGCGAAGCGUCUCUUACGAGUCUGGCGGCCGACUUGGCCCUACGUGGCGCGGGUGUGGCGCCAGAAUUCAAACAGCUGCAGUUGGAAACGACGCUUUCGCCUGCCACGAGCCAAGUCCGUCCAGGACAGAUUGGGUCCGAGAGUGGACACAAGUUUUGCAGCGCAGGGCGGCCUCAGCUUAGGACCGAUUCGAGAAGCUGGGCUGGCUGGCUGGCUGGCGCUGGGCUGUAGUGGGCCCCCAGCGGAGGCCGCCGGAGGAGCGGGCGAGCCCUGGCCGCAGCACUCCGGGAAAGGGCAGUUGGCUGGCAGAAACGCUUGGGUGAAAAAGCGGAAAGCGCCACGUGAGAACAGCCCCGGCGUGCGGCCCUGCAGGGCCUCAGGGCGGGCAUCAAGGCCCCAUGGGGAUCCAUUCCUCCUCACGCUUCCUCGUGCCAGGCAUCCGGUUACACUAAACGUGACCAUACAAGUCUCCCUCAAACAGCGAACGUGAGGUUCAAUACUCCAUUUCGCAGAGGAGAAAACUGAGGCUUAAAACAGCCAGAGAGGAGGCCAUGUGAGGACACAGAGUGGAGGAGGCACUGUCUACAAG